CAUGUACUCCCUCCGUCCGGAAAUAUUUGUCAUCAAAAUGGAUAAAAAAGGAUGUAUCUAGAACUAAAAUACACCUCCUUUUAUUCAUCUUGAUGACAAGUAUUUUCGGACGAAGGGAGUAGCAA
Triticum aestivum (bread wheat) is the source of this 125-nucleotide non-coding RNA. The record is from Rfam. Lineage: Eukaryota; Viridiplantae; Streptophyta; Magnoliopsida; Poales; Poaceae.